Arachis stenosperma is the source of this 104-nucleotide small nucleolar RNA. The record is from RefSeq and is a predicted model, not a curated record. NCBI's taxonomy places the organism in Eukaryota, Viridiplantae, Streptophyta, Magnoliopsida, Fabales, Fabaceae.
AUGUCAGGAGGACAUUUUCUUGUCAAAUCCUUAUAUCUCUCCCAUGCUUCAUAAAGUGUUUCACCAUCUUGUUGCCUGAAUGUUUGGACCUCAGCCCUCAAUCU